AUUGAACGCUGGCGGCAGGCCUAACACAUGCAAGUCGGACGGUAGCACAGAGGAGCUUGCUCCUCGGGUGACGAGCGGCGGACGGGUGAGUAAUGUCUUGGGAUCUGCCCGAUAGAGGGGGCUAACCACUGGAAACGGAGGCUAAUACCGCAUAACGGCGCAAGACCAAAGAGGAGGACCUCAGCGCCGCCCACAAACGGAGUAACACAGAUGGGAUUAGCUAGUCGGCGGGGUAAUGGCCCACCUAGGCGACGAUCCCUAGCUGGUCUGAGAGGAUGACCAGCCACACUGGAAAUGAGACAAGGUCCAGAAUCCUACGGGAGGCAGCAGUGGGGAAUAUUGGACAAUGGGCGCAAGCCUGAUGCAGCCAUGCCGCGUGUAUGAAGAAGGCCUUCGGGUUGUAAAGUACUUACAGCGGGGAGGAAGGCGAUAAGGUUAAUAACCUUGUCGAUUGACGUUACCCGCAGAAGAAGCACCGGCUAACUCCGUGCCAGCCGCCGCGGUAA
This 506-nucleotide ribosomal RNA is filed under the name uncultured bacterium. RNAcentral describes it as "partial 16S ribosomal RNA". It matches the Rfam family "Bacterial small subunit ribosomal RNA", at positions 29 to 523 of the family's 1533-position model. The record is from RNAcentral.